Non-coding RNA from Pelobates cultripes (western spadefoot toad), 510 nucleotides. The record is from the annotation of a GenBank genome assembly. NCBI's taxonomy places the organism in Eukaryota, Metazoa, Chordata, Amphibia, Anura, Pelobatidae.
CGGUGGCCCCUGCGGACCUCCAGGCUUACGUGCAUGAAUUCUUCCACGCGCUCUCGCCAGACACACCGUCAGACAUGCUCCUCUUGGAUAGGGUACACAGGAUACCCAAACCUUCACACCUACCAUCCUCGGUCCCCAGGGAUGUCAUCCUGUGUGCCCACUACCACCACAUCAAAGAAAUAAUAUUACGACAGAGCAGAACCAAUAAGGAUGCACCUAGCAAAUAUGCUGGCAUAAAGAUAUUCCCGGACUUAUCCGCGGCGACGCUGAGAAAGAGGAAAGCCUUCCAACCCAUCACCACCAUCCUCAGACAGCAACAAAUAGCAUACCGGUGGGGUUACCCCCUCAAGCUUCUCAUCACUAAAGGCGGCGCGACGAAGAUACUGACAUCGCCAGAAGACGGAGAAAAGCUUCUCCAGGAAUGGAACCUACCCACACCAAGCAAACAGACGAGAGAAACCGCCACGCUGCAUCGCGAAUGGCGGAAAGCAUAAUACAAUAGACUUAUAC